GGCGAGAUGGCUCAGUGGUUAAGAGCGCCGACUGUUCUUCCGAAGGUCCUGAGUUCAAAUCCCAGCAACUACA
Molecule: transfer RNA, 73 nt
Filed under: Mus musculus (house mouse)
Lineage: Eukaryota; Metazoa; Chordata; Mammalia; Rodentia; Muridae
Description: tRNA-Asn
Source: RNAcentral